GACGAACCGUGCGAACGUUGUUCGGAAUCACUGGGCUUAAAGGGCGCGUAGGCGGGUUCGCAAGUCGGGGGUGAAAUCUUUCAGCUUAACUGGAAAAGUGCCUCCGAUACUGCGAGUCUCGAGGGAGGUAGGGGCAUGUGGAACUUCCGGUGGAGCGGUGAAAUGCGCAGAUAUCAGGAGGAACACCGGUGGCGAAGGCGGAUCUCUGGGCCGUAACUGACGCUGAGGAGCGAAAGCAUGGGGAGCGAACAGG
This 253-nucleotide ribosomal RNA is filed under the name uncultured bacterium. RNAcentral describes it as "partial 16S ribosomal RNA". It matches the Rfam family "Bacterial small subunit ribosomal RNA", at positions 524 to 776 of the family's 1533-position model. The record is from RNAcentral.